AGUCUUUAAGAAGCUUGUCAGCAGACAGGAAGAGUUACCUCAGAUUCAUGACAGAAUACCUUAUGUAUUCAUAGACGGUAGUGAAAAGGGACUAAAGUCUGACUUGGCAGAGCACCCCGCCUACGUGCGUCAGCAGAACUUAAGAAUUGCACACAAGGUAUAUUUUGACAAACUGGUCCAUUCGGUGGCUAAUAUAAUUCAGUGCCUCUUUGACAACGACACUGACUAUACAGUGAAAAUCAUCUACAACUUCCUGAACAUCCAACCAGACAACAUAUCUGAGAUUGCUGAACUUUUAAACAUCCAAACUGGUCAUGGAGAAGUCUGCCCCCUCGAUUAUUCUUAAUCACUGGUGCGUGACCUGGCAGGGUCACCAUUUUCUCUGCAGAAACCUUUCAAAUAUAAAAAUUCUAAACAGAAGGAAUGGAUACACCACUCUGGACCUACCACUGACCCUUGGAGACCUGACACAAUAUAGACUGGCUCAUGGACUUAGUGAAAAUCUAAUGGCGCUCAGUCCUUACUCUUGGACCAUACCCUUUCUGGUGUCAUCGAGUGAAACACCUGGAAUUGAGCUUCUUCCUAAGGUGAUUAAUGACUUUGGCACCCCGCUAUCAUUGGCUAUAAAAACUAAUCUCCCGUCUAUCCCCGCGCAUCAGCUGCUAUUUUACAUCAUUUUCCUCCGACCCUCACCCCUAACAUCCAUGUCCUGUUAUGCCAGGCCCCUGUCUUUAGCUUCUACACCCUCCACCAAUGGCCUGUGCCAAUCAGUCUCUGUCUUGGAUAAUAAACCUGGGCUCCUGAUCACUACCCCACUACAUAGAGACCCAGCCAGCGGGAAAUAUACAAGCAAUGUCCAGAGUCCAACUACCUUUAACCUGUUCAGGGUUCUCUACAUCAAGCUAUCGGGGGAGGAGGGGAUGGUUUCUCAAAAAGUAAAGCAUCUCACAAUUGACAAAGAUUCCCUGCAGGAAGGCUUCCUUCAACUGUGUUUAAACAUGUGUGGAGUGUCUUAUGAGACUCUCCAAUGUGAGAUAUUAUUAGAACUGGUUCAGGGCCCCACAAAUUUCAUAUUUCCAGCAGCCUUUCCACCCCCCGUGAGUCUUCCCCACAGAAACUGCAUAGAACUAACUUGUGACACAGAAAGGUGUUUGAAACCAGGUGAUGUUAUGAAACUGAAGCACAGAUUACUUUAUGAGUUGGGACAGAGGGGGGACACACCACAAAAUGCCUUUUUGAUUGUUGGGGCCCACUCACCAGAAACAGUGUGGAUUUCACCAAGUCUGUGGCUACCGGGCCAACCACUAUAUAUAAACAUAAUAAACCUGUCUCACAAACCAUUGCUCUUGUCUAGACAUUCCAUACUGGCACUUGCCAUCCCUAUAUCUUAUACUCGCGCCCCCGCCUCUGCCCACGAGGCGACAGAUACUACCAUCUGCUAUUCUGGAAACAGCAGAGUGUUGACCUGCGGUGCAGCACACGUGCUGGAAGCCCACUUCAAACAUCCUCCAAUAACUUCCAGAGCGAUCACAGAUGGCGGAGAGUCACCCAUGGAGUGGCAGACCCUCUAGUUCCCCACGAAGGUCAUCUACAUUUGCCAACUAUGCCUGGAAGCAUACAAUCAAGCCAAACAGGAUUUUGAUACGCAAUGCCCGGCCACUGGUCAUCAAUUUUGCCACUGAUAGGCUUCCUAUCAUCAAGCCAGUGGAUCAGAUCAUACUGGAAGACGCGGGCACCGUGGGGUCCGCCCUUAAUCUACCCAGCGAGUCUAUCUGCACUAGACCAGGCCUGCUCCUGUUUGGACACUACAAUAACGAUGUGCCAGUCACCCCCCUGGUGGACUUUAAGCCCGAUGAGCCCCUCCAGGUUGUCCUCACAGCCCACAAGACCAUAGUGGUGCCACCAGGAGAAUUUGUCAUGAUCAUCGUGUGUGUAAAUUUUGAAAAAAUAAAAUCCCUGGACCUCAUCAUCCAUGAAAUGUCAACCAGCAACAUCCCCCUACCACCCACCUGUGGGCAGACCUUCAAAAACUUCAAUACAGCCACCCCCUCUCUGGAAAUCUAUGGAGAUGUCAUAGAGUGUAAUGACGACCAGAAGACCUGCGUCUUCACAGCCGUCUUUCCCGGGCUCCACAGGCGCUGCAGCCUCCACGGUCCCCUAAAUUUUAUGGGAUUUGUCAACAGUGUGAAUAUAACUGGAACUAUCCUCAGGGUGUACUAUUCUGGUGUCAGUGAAGCUGCCCCAGACAGCAUACUUGUCAAAUUCAAAACCUCCUCUGCCGUGGCCUUCAGUAAGAACCCGUGCCAAGGACAUGUUCCCAGUCAUGAUGAUACUUUGAUUCCCCUGGUGUAUACCGGACCCACCCUCCGUCUCCUCCCGCUGGAAACCAUCAGUAUUCCCUUCAAUACCUCUUUUGUGGCCCAGAACCCUGACCUGAAAGCCAUCAUCUAUGACAACAACUUAAAAGACAUCAGGAUCUCUGCAACCAUGUGGACAGGAGAACAGACACCCAUCUUGGCCCACAAUUUAACCGCCGCAGUUAAACUUAUCCACAGUGGGACCGUGUUUGCCAGGGCAGCCUUUUUCUCCACUAAAGAGAACAAGAAGGCCUGCACACUUAAACUCUGCCCCUCAACCAUCCUUCUUCCAGGUGGUGAGCUGAGUCUAGAUACCUCUACCCUCCCCAACUGUUUCAAAUGAUUCUUGUGAGUGCUGACAGGCUUAAUAAAGAAAAUGAUUAAAUGAAA
This 2747-nucleotide non-coding RNA is filed under the name synthetic construct. The record is from RNAcentral.